UCAUGUUACCUUUGUCUAUUUACUAGUAAAUGUUAGUUUGGAAGUACUGCACAUACUUCUAUUGGCUUUUAAAUUAAGCAUGGUGCUUAGGUUAAACAGCCUUCCUUAAUCUGAUUAGACAUGGAGUCUAGUUCGGUUAUUGAACUAAAAACUGCUUGUGUAGACAUUGGUAUAUUUUUGACGGACUAACCCCUCCAGAAAAACUUUCAAUAUCGAUUUGGGAAGUCCUGAGAUAAACUCACAUCAGAGACGAAGAGAGUGACACAUGAAGUUUAACAAUUUGCACAAGAAGGACAUAGCUCAUUCAUCAUAGAGAGAUGAUCCAUGGAGGGUGCCACAAACACGAUGCACAACCGCUAAGAAAGGAAAGCUUCAACAAGGUGAUACUGUACCAUCACUCUUCAAGCAAGGUAACAUCUUAAGGUACUUGACUAUCACUUUUAUAAGCUUCUCCUUGGUUCUGGCGUUCAUAUAAAUAAAAGAGACAAACAUGUAUGAUUUACAACUCUAGAUUAACCAACCCAACUGAUUCAACAUGUUUAGUCCUUUAAUCCUUGUUCUUAGCACUACCUCCAUGAUCCCACACUCCUAAUCAUAUGAGCUAAAAUGUUACACAUUCAAUCAUUGAGAGAUAUAUAGAAAAAGACAUAUACAUAGAUAGAUUAUCUUUACAUCAGGUUGAGUGAUCUGAUGUGACAAACGUUAUAAGUGCUACACUCAUGAACUUUUCAUCCAUCAACUUUGUCUUGCUCACUAUGCUUAGGGUUAGAGAAGAACAAAUACACUUUAGGUUCUGUUGGUGUUUUCCACCAACAGGACCCAUGCACUUGAUCUCUGCCUUGUCACUAUGAGCAGGUACACUUUGAGCAAAACACGGAGGAGUUUUAUAACUCUCAGACUCUACCAAGUGAAGGACCUGGAUCUAUGAGCACAAACACACUGAGCAGGUUACUACCAACGCCGCACUUCGAACUGCUGGGCAAACGAAGAGGUGCAGACGUUAAGGUCCGCACCUGAAUCAAAUGACGCACCUGAAGAAUGAACACGGUGAGAAGUCUUGUUAAGAAGACUUAAAACAUUGAACCCUCGCCGAAAGGUAAGAUCGGUAGUUAUUCAUAUUUAUCCUUUCUGCAUUCCCUUUUUCCUUUAAUUAUUUACUUUCCUUAAAUAGAUUAUUAGUUAAUCAUGCUAUCUUGAAAAGAAAAUAAAAAUGUUAAAAAAAUACUAAGCCCCAUAUGAGUAUACGAGUGGCAUAAAACCCAUAAGUACCUUCACUGUGGUGGCAUAAAAAUAAAAUAAAUAUUUCUUUUCUGCUUUAUAAAAUAAAAAUAAAAAAACAGGGAGUAAUAUUUAUUGAGGAAGCUCAACAUGAUGAAGGCUAGAUAUUUAUGCUAACACUUAAUUAAUUCCACAAGCUUUGUUGUCUAUUUGAGCUCCACAGAACUUAAGAAUCAAGAAGACUAGCAGACGGAGAAUAUUCUAAUCGCUGUCAGAAUGCUGCUGACUUCCAAAUACACCUCUGCCACCUGCUAGCUACAUCAAGAGAAAUUACGUCAAAAUUCAGCUUGGGGGAGAGCACCCCCAUUUAUCUCGCUAAGUAUUUAUACCUAUCUUUAUACUUAUAUUAUAUUAGAAUACUAAAAUACAUAAACUAUGAAAAACCAAAUAAAGAUUUUGUGCUUAUAUAUAUAUCUUUUGCUUAAUGUGUUUAAUAAAUAAAUAAAGUGGCUAUGCUAAUCUGAAUCGUAAUAAUAAAACUCUAGCAUGGAUAUGAUGAAUAGUUUCUCUGCCUAGUUUGCACAUUUGAAGUUCUCUCUCAAGUUUAGACAUAACUGUUAUAAUUUAAUGCUUGCUCUAGAUCUAAACUUGUGGGAUGAAAACUUGAUCUGAAAUCUAAGUUGUUAACGGAUAUGAUAUGGGAAGGUUGAGCUGCUGUUUAUCUGUUCCUAGAGAUGCUAGAAUUCGGGAGAAUCUUAUCUUUGAAAAAUCUUUAAAAUAUUGCAUGAUGAGUUCCUGUAUGAUGAGAGUUUAAAUUCCUACCACAGCCAUAUAUACAUGCUUGCUAGACUUUGAGCCACACAUUUAUUAUUUACUGCUUAUGAGCAUUGAGUGUGGUCAAGCUGUGUAGACCCUUAGGAGCUUGUCAUGUGGUUAAAUCAAGAUUCACUUGCACGUUCACUCAUAUAUGCUACUUCUACUUCGGAAGUACCAUCCACAUAUAUCCAUCCAUGUCCAUCUCCAGAACCACCCAAAAAUAUUCUACUCCUAAUCCGGGAGAGAAUAGCCAAAAAUAUUUCUGUUUUCUCUUGUGAAAUAAAUGCUCAAGUUAUCUUGCUACUACCACUUGCUAUAUUAUCUCAAGAGAUGAGUGCUCUGAAAAAAAAGAGAAAAGAGAAAAAAAAUAUAAACGAGGAAAUAAAAAGGGGCAAGUGCCCGAAACCUCGAAAGAAAGAAAAAGUGAGACGAGAGGUAAAAAUGGACAAGUGUCCGACAGUAGAAUUAGGGGUACAAGAUACCCACCUGAGAGGAAAGAAAAAGAAGAGCAUCUCAUUCUCCUUAUAAAGUUUCAAAAAGCAAGGAAGGUAUGUAUCCCGUCAAAAGAGCAAAAGUAGAAUCAGACUUUCACCAUUGUUAUCACCAUCAUCACCAUACACCAUUCAUUCGCCACACAUGCACAUCUUGAUUUGGCUUAUUGAUUUGUUUCUUUGGAUCCAUGGUUUGACUAUACAAUAAAUGUCUUGUAAGUAUGUAUACUUUAUCUCCCACCUAUGAGCUCCAGAUAUUAAAGCCUUAUUAGAGUAGGGUGAGAGAGAAGGCAAUGUCACUAUGCCUUAUACCACAAAUACCACAUAUCUUGAGAGAAGGCAUAUACCAUCACUGCCUUGGUAAGGAUCCAGAAAUACCACAAAAGAGAGAUUUAGAGAGUCAUACAAGGAAUCUCUGAGUUUUAUUUGAAAAUCUGCAAAAACUCCAGAGCUAUAGCUGAUCAAGAAUAAGAGACAUGGCACUUGGCUAGACUGUUCUAUCUUUUAACUACUCAAGACAGAAGUGACGGUUACAAGUCCCAUGGUGAAAGGUAAAGUAAGUAAGUUUUAGUUCUUGACAGUUUACUCUAAUUUAGAGAUGAGAUCUUAUUUAAAAGCAUGUGUACCGUCAAAUUUUUAAGAUAUUGCAACAACUUCUGAUCCAUUGCUGAGAUUAUCCUUGCUUAGGGACGAGCAAGAGUUAAGCUUGGGGGAGUUUGUUGACGGUCCUUAAGUAUCACAUUUAAUUAUCAAAUAAACAAAGAAAAGGAUUCAAAUGAAAUCAACAUCUAGACUUAGGGUUUUAUCUGACAGAAUUCCAUGAGUUUUGGGGUUUGUCUAUUUCUGCAGGGGGUUAUCAGGAAAUACGGAAGAAAGGCCCACACGUCGGGAUUACAUAGAGAUAUUAACGUACCGCGCAAUUAUCUUACAUCUAGAAGACUCCAGAAGCCACAGGAAGGAAGCGGAGGCCGAACGGGGCCAGAGGCAGGGCGCCCGCCCUCCUGCCCUGGACGCCCGCCCACCUCUGGAGCCCAAUCGGGACUCUUUCUCUCGGGAGAUCUCCACCGACCUAAAGGAUCAAGAAUAACCGUUCAAUCAAUGUCGGUUUGAUCCGACGGCCCAGGUUCACUUGAGGGGACUAUAAAACCAGACCCCCUGGCCCCUGGAGGAGGCACCCCUUGAUCAUUAAUCAUUAUUCAUAGACAGAGCAAAAGCUAGGGUUUAGAGAUGAGAGCUCUCCUCUCUUCUCUAAACUAGAGUAGAUCUAGAUAGUAGCAAGAUGGAGAGCGAAGGAGGAUUAGAGGAGAGGCCGGCCUGUCGGUUCUUCCUCCGGUUGUACUUCGUCAUGAUCAAGCUCUAAUCAAGCUUGCUCAUGGGAUGACUCUGGUAAUCUACUUCUAAUUCAUUAUGCAAUUACUAAUUAUGUAUGUUCUGGUUCACAACUCUUUUGAGUAUUCUAAUCUAUAGGACGCUAUAGGUUAGAGUUGUAGUAUAGGUGUAAGCGUGGUGCUUAGACCUAGAUUACUUGUGGAUAUCCCCUGUCUAGCUGGAUCGUGUGGUAGGCCGCGUAGAUGACAGUUACGUUGGUCCUCUGUAGUCCACCUCUCGUUAGCAUGACGGGUAGGGUUUAUCGGCCUAAGGAUAAGCAUCCUUUGUGGUGUACUCUUAUCACGUGGUUCGUCCCAGACAUAGACAUACCCCUUUGAAGUAGAGAAACCAUAGUUAUCCUCUCUAUUCUGCUACCAUCGCCCAUAUACUAGAUUGCUCUACUCUCUAUUCCCAUAUUAUCACCCAUUGUUAUCUUACCUUUAAUAUUAUUCGAUUCUACCAUCUUUCCUAUUUACACCUAUGUACUUAUCCUGGUUAAGUUAGAGCGUAGUUGGUUCUCCCGUUUCCCUGUGGAUACGAUAAAACCUUUAACCGGGUAAAAGCUUCAACGGUAUCCGUGCGCUUGCGGAUUAUCUGUGUGCGUAUAAAUACCAUAGUACACUCUAGUGCCAUGCUGGGGAUGACAACCUAGUAUUCAAGUUGUGUUAGCAAGUGUCAACAAUGAUUGGUUGGACAUACCUUGUACUUGCUUAUCAUUUAUCUGAUCUUCUUGUUCCAAUCCUGGAAAGGUUAGUGACAAGAAUACCCGAAGGAAUAUUUUUACAAUUAUCCUUAUAUGCUCAAUACACAAGGUAAUGUUGCAAAUAAUUAAAAACUCAUGUUAUGAUCUGAUCAGUGCUUAUUUUAGGACACCAAGCUUGUCCUUGGGAAACCAUCAAUUUAUUUCGGCGAAGUGGUUUCCGUUCCAACGCUGACCUAAAUCAAGAUCAACUCAACGAGAUCUGCAAUAUUUAUUAUAGACAUAUGCAUCGACAACUGCCCUUUUAAAGUUUUUAUAAAUAGAAAGGAAGAGGGGGUUGGAGAUCUCAAAUGUGGUGAUGUUGGAGAGACCAAUAGAUUGGGAAGAUGUUGCAUAUGAGCAUGGAGUAAACGAAGUGGCUAUGAAAUAAAUUCUAUGCUCAUUAAUGUUAUCUUCGUCUCCAAUCUGAAUGUUCGGAGUUUCUCCUAGAUUGGUCUCACCUAUGUCCUCUUCUGUAGUUGGAUGAACCUCAUCUUCAAAGGGAGUCAAGAACUCACCAUUUGAAAUUGAGCCAAAGUCAUAAUCCAUUAAGGCUUCUUCCUUAUCCAUCCAUUCUACACAUUCUAGCCAUUUAGAACUUGUGAUCAGGAAAGGGGAGGUGUUAGAAUUUUCUAUAUGGUUUGGCUCUCCUUCUAUGACAUUACUUGACAUGUCAUCCUCAUGGUCUUUAUGACUCCUAUGGUUUGAUCGUCUUGAUGGAUUGUUAGGAUUAUCAUGAGACUUAAAAGGAGAAGGAUAAGAGGUGUCUCUAAGGUCAAGGAUGGAUUUAAAAUUUGUGAACAUGGAAGGGGAGAAGAUAGAAUCUUCUAUAUGGUUUAGCUCUCCUUCACUUGAUAUGUCAUCCUCGACUUCUUCAUAACAGGAACCAGGACAUUCUCUAAAAGAACCAUUAUUGCAAGGAUUUGAAUUAUCCCUGCUUGAAGGUCUCUUAUGAGACCAGAAGUCUAAACCAUCAGCAUCUGAAAGAUUUAAGGUCGGAAUUCCUUCCUCCCUUGGAGAAUUUGGGGGUAUUGAUGGUUUAGGAUCGAUAGCUAAAGUUUGGGAUUGAAGUGGUUGUGAUCUGGCUAUCGAAACUUCUUCUUUUUGUCUAGGAACUGGUUCUGUCUCUUUCUCAAGGAUAUAAUAGCUUGGAGACUUUCUGCUCAUUAAAUCAAUCAAAUUCUAAGCUUCACUAGCGGAUAGGUGGUGGAAAGAUCCUCCAGAGGCCGCAUGAAGGGUUUGCUUAUUUUCCCUACUAAGGCCCUCAAAAAAGUGUAUUAGAAGAACUUCUUCUGGAAUAGAAAGCUUUGGGCCAGUAAGAGUAAGGCUAAUGAAGCGGUCCCAUGAUUUGCCAAGAGAUUCUUCUUCCAGUUGUCUAAAAGAAAGAAUCUCAUGCCAAAGUUCCACCACUUUGGAGAUUGGAAAAUAUUUAAAAAGAAAACUAUUAUGUAACUCCUUCCAAUCUCCAUGAACACUCCCUAUUUUGAGUUUGUACCAAUGUCUAGCUUUUCCCGUUAGAGAGAACGGAAAGAGCUUCCAUUUAAGGGUCUCAUCGGACAUGCCUUCUAUGCGAAGGAGGUCACAGACUCUAUAAAACUCUCUUAGGUGUGUGUAUGGGUUUUCCUCACCUUCUCCUGAGAAAGGUUGUUUUUGAACAAAUUCUAUGUAUUCGGGGUCUAUCUCAAAACUAGAUGCUAUGAUAGGCUUUGAAGAUUUUGGUGGUUCGAGAUGUGUGCCCGUAGGUCUACGAAAUUCAUAGAUAGACAUGUUUGAAUUCAUGAUAGACCAGAGAUCAAGGAUUAGAUAAGAAGAAAGAUUAGCAGAGAUGAGGCAAAGGAUAAAAGGAAAAAAUAUAUAUUUUUUUAUUUUUUUUAGAAAAUGAUUAAGCUAGUUCGUAGUCAACUCAGCAACCGUUUCCCCGGAAACGGCGCCAAAAAUGCUUGUUGACACUUGCUAACACCACUUCAAUACUAGGUUGUCAUCCCCAGCAUGGCACUAGAGUGAACUAUGGUAUUUAUACGCACACAGAUAAUCCGCAAACGCACGGAUACCGUUGAAGCUUUUACCCGGUUAAAGGUUUUAUCGUAUCCACAGGGAAACGGGAGAACUGAUCUACGCUCUAACUUAACCUAGAUAGAUAGAUAGGUGUAAAUAGGAAAAAUGGUAGAAUUGAAUAGGAACAAUAUUAAAGGUAAGAUAACAGUGAGUGAUAAUAUGGGAAUAGAGAGUAGAGCAAUCUAGUAUAUGGGCGAUGGUAGCAGAAUAGAGAGGAUAACUAUGGUUUCUCUACUUCAAAGGGGUAUGUCUAUGUCUGGGACGAACCACGUGAUAAGAUUACACCACAAAGGAUGCUUAUCCAUAGGCCGAUAAACCCUACCCGUCCUGCUAACGAGAGGUGGACUAUAGAGGACCAACGUAACUGUCACCUACGCGGCCUACCACACGAUCCAGCUAGACAGGGGAUAUCUACAAGUAAUCUAGGUCUAAGCACCAUGUUGACGGUCCUUAAGUAUCAAAUUUAAUUAUCAAAUAAAUAAAGAAAAGGAUCCAAAUGAAAUCAACAUCUAGACUUAGGAUUUUAUCUGACAGAAUUCCACGAGUUUUGGUGUUUGUCUUUUCUGCAGGGGGUUAUCAGGAAAUAUGGAAGAAAGGCCCACACGUCGGGAUUACGUAAAGAUAUUAACGUGCUGCGCAAUUAUCUUACAUCUAGAAGACUCCAGAAGCCACGAGACCGAAGCGGAGGCGAAACGGGGCCUGACCCAGGGCACCCGCCCAGUUGGUCAGGGCGCCCGCCCUGCCCCUGAGUCCAAUUAGGACUCUGCUUUGCGGGAGAUUUCCACCGACCUAAAGGAUGAAUCUAAACCAUACAAUCUAUGUCGGUUUGAUCCAAGGGCCCAUAUUCACUUGAAGGAACUAUAAAACCAGACCCCCUGGCCCCUGGAGGAGAGAGCCUCUCAACCCUAAUUUAUUGUUCCAUCAAGGGAGAAGAAGCCUCUGAUCAAGAUUAGAGCCACCACAUCAAUUAGAUAUCUAGAUUAGCAUAGCUACAUAGGAUUAGAACUAGAAGGAGUCAAUCUUCGAUUGGUUUCCGGAUCUGUCAAGAGGAUUCUUGGUAAUUCUCUAAUUGUGCUUCUAAUUGCUUUCUAAUUAUCUUUGUUCUUCAAUAUUAUGAAUAUGAAUUUGUUCUACUUCAAUAUAUUGCUUAUGACUUUGCUCUACUUGCUUAUAUUCAAGAUUAUAUUGUUCUUAGUUUAUCAUAGUUAUGUACUUGGCUUAGUUAGAUUCGAUCUAUAUACAUGCUUAGGAUCGUAUAGCGUUUAUCCAUCGGAUCCAUGGGUAAAUGAUAGAUAUUGUGUAGGCAUGGUGCUUAUACCGUAUUUGUCUGCGAUUGUACCCAAUAUGCCAGAUCAUGGGGUGGUUCGUGAUAGUGACAGCUUCAUUGAUUCUUAUAUAGUCCCCCUCUCGUGUAUUGGGCUGGCAGAGCAACAUUAUUACAGGGGAGUGAUUGCUAUGUUUCUCAUAUUCCUUGCUAAUAUCACUAUGCAUGGGCGUAGUCUUGUCUCGCAAUGAUUGCUAAGUAUGCUUGCACUAACUAUGAUAUGCUAGACUAUAUAGUUGAGAGUAACUUAGGGAAUAUUCUUGUAGUUCGUUCUAAUACCAUGCUAAUGACUUUCUAGAGUAUCUAAUUGAGGUGCUUAUCAUAUUUAUUAUGUGGCUAGAUCAGAUUAGUUAUCCUUGUCACUAUUAUUAUUUCAUAUAUCUUUUAUGUGACACUUAUCCCUGUAUGAAGAGUUAGAUAUAAUGUUCUCAAUUAUACAUGCAAUGAUAGAUGCUCAAUCUUAUAUUCUAUUCUGUAAUCAAUAGUGAUGAUUGCUAAUCCCUUCCCAGUGGUAAAAAUAUAAAUAACGAUACCUGGAAUACUUCCCGGUUAAAAUGCUGCAUCGGUAUUAAUCUGUGCGCUUGUAGAUCCCAUUCAUUAUUUAUUUAGAAGAGCAAUUGCAUAUUUCAAUACCGCAUCUCUUAUAUCAUGCUGGGGAUGACAACUUGGCUUAAGUGGUGUGAGGGAUAGGUUUGGCAUUUUUGGCACCGUUACUAGAUUUAGAGAACUUAGUCUACUUUUGGUAAUGAUGUUAAGAAUACCCAACAAGCAUAUUUGGCGCCGUUGCCGGGGAAGGUUGAUUACUAAUCAGGAAUGGAAUAAAAGAUUUUGAGUUAUCAUUCGCAUCACUAAUAUGAUUGAGCUUAUCUAUUCUCUCAUACAGUUUUACCCCGAUAUUUUUCUAUUUUAUCUUAUGCAGGGGAAGGUAUGAAUAGAAGACAUCUUCCAGGAAAUUUUGUUGACAACCCUGAAGCAUUAUUCAAGAAGAUGAGAGCCAAGCUAAAGAAAUAAUCAACAUUUUAGCAAGAAGCUUCAUCCAAUCAAGAAGAUCACCGGAACUUGUCUUCAGAGUUCGAAGCCAUGGCGAACAAAUCAAUCCGUGAGUUCUUAGCUCCCACUACGGACAACAUCCGCACUGGACCUGCUGCAGAGAUCGAUGGCAACUUUGAGCUCAAGCCUGGACUUAUCAACAUGGUGCAAUCCAACCAGUUCUGUGGGAAGGCACAUGAAGAUGCUAGUGCUCAUUUACAACACUUCCUGGAGAUUUGCAACACAUUCACCAUAUCAGGAGUUUCCAAAGAUGCUAUACUACUUCGCCUCUUCCCAUUCUCACUGUUAGGAAGAGCGAAGCAGUGGUUCUACGCUACAAAGGAGAAGAAUACUACGUGGGCACUCUGCUCAACAAACUUCCUGGCUAAGUUCUUUCCCAUGGGCAAGACCAAUGCUCUCCGUGGGAAGAUUACAAGUUUUCAGCAACAAAAUGAUGAAUCUAUUCCAGAAGCAUGGGAGCGCUUUCAAGACUACAUCCUAGAAUGUCCCCAUCAUGGAAUGGAGAGUUGGCUAUUGAUGCAGACGUUUUAUCAUGGGCUCGGCAACAAUGCCCGAGAGACCAUGGAUGCUGCAGCUGGAGGAGCAUUCUUAUCACUUACUAUACCACAAGCCACAGCUCUUGUGGAGAAGAUGGCGUCCAAUCAAAGCUGGAAUGAAGAGAGGACCCAGACACGCAAGAGAGGUGGAGGUAUGCAUCAGCUGAAGGAGGUAGACAUGCAGUCUGCAAAGCUAGACCUGCUCAUGAAGAAGCUCAAUGAUAGAGCUGGAGACAAGAAAGAAGUUAUGCACACCUACGACUCUCACAUGACUUAUGAGGAGUGUGGAGACACUGGACACUCAGGCAACCACUGCCCUGAGAUACUUGAGGAUGUGAACUACAUCAACAACAACUACUACUACUACUACAACCGUCCUCAACAAAAUCAAGGUUGGAAUCAACAGAGGCCUAACUACUCAGGUAAUUAUCAAGGUAACAAUUCUUACAAUAAUAAUUUUCCACCUUUGAGAGAGUUAGUGUCUAAUCAAGGAAAGCUAAUGGAUAACCUAUCUAAGAAAUUGGCAUCUAAUGAUAAAAUGCUAGAAAAUAUAAAUAAUAGAAUGGAUAAUUUUUCUACUGCCAUCAAGAAUCAAAUUAGCUUUAAUAAAAUGAUUGAAUCUCAGUUAAAUCAAAUAGCUGCUGCUGUUCCUACUACUAACCCCGGUAUACCAUCACAACCGGAAGGAUUAGAAUCUGCAAAUCUUGUAGACAUGUUUGAUGCAGGUAAUUGGAGUAACCCCGUCAAUGAAUUCUCUACUGACCUUCUGCUGGUCAAGAGUGGAGAUCCAGGACGCCCCGUCAUCCCGAUCUCCAUCGGCAUGGUGGACAUUCUAGAAGCACUCUGUGACUUUGGCUCCAGUGUCAACAUUAUACCCAGGGUACUCUAUGAAAAAUUCUUUAAAUAUCCUUUAUUAGAGACAACCAUGUGUUUGCAAUUUGCAGAUCAGACGAUAACUUUUCCAAAAGGAAUAUUGAAGAACCUUUGUGUCCGAGUUGGUACCUUGUAUGCCCUAGCAGACUUCGUAGUAGUAGAGACCGGAAAUGAUGAGAGAGCACCCAUCAUCUUAGGGAGGCCAUUCUUGAACACCACGGGAGCUAUCAUCUACGCCAGUGCUGCCAAGAUCAGUUUCUACGUCAAAGGGAGGAAGGAGACAUUUUUCUUCAAGAACAAGACUACACAAAUUCCAGAUCAAUCCAGACGUGAAUCAAGGAAGAGGACCAAUAGGAGGAACAGGAACAAGCAAGUGUGGACCGAGUCAGCUAAGAUGGUCACUGUAGUUCAUGGAGGCCAAGAUCACCAACUUAAGUCACCGUGUUUGACCAAGAAGGACGACCCAGGAAUGCCAAGCAUUUACUGCUCCAUAAAUGGAUACAACUUCUACAAGACAUUUUGUGACACCGGAUCAGGCGUCAACAUAAUGGCCGCAGUCACCUAUCGGCUCUUGUUCGGGACCAUGCCCCUAAGACCAACAUACAUUCAGCUCCAGAUGGCAGAUCAGACAUUUCGAGAAGUUAAAGGAAUAGUAACUGAUGUCCCAGUCAAAAUAGACGAUCACUUUGUCUACACAGACUUUCAAGUUAUUGACAUGGGAGAAGAUGAAUACGAUCCACCCAUCAUCCUUGGAAGACCGUUCCUCGGCACCGUCAAAGCAAUUAUCUACAUUGGAACCGGAGAAGUCCAUAUGCACUUCCCCUCAGAGAAGGUACGCCGUUAUUUUACUGACCCUAACUAUAUUGUUAAAGAAUCUAAGCAGGUCAGAAAGAGACGCAACCGCAACCAGAGGAGGCAGAUCAUCAAGGACGGAUGGGCAGACUAUGAAGGAGAAGUUGUAAGAUCAGAAGACGUUGAGUUUAAACAGAAUUAUCCAGAGGAGAUUGAAGCACCGAGUCAGGUAUAGAAAAUGAAGAUAACUAUACAAGAAGAGGAGGCGCUGCCGGAAGUACCGACUACGCCACCCAACGAACCUCAGGACGAUUGAAAAAAUGGAGAGUCCCGUUCGGUGGACUUAAAAACACCGAACGCCUUGCCAAGAGGUAAACUUGGUAGUUAUCCUUUCCCUUUCAAUUAUUUUAAAUAGUUUACUUAGUUAAUCAUGUUCGUACUAUCUUAAAAAGAAAAUAAAAAUAUGAGAAAAACAGUAAGCCCCAUGUGAGUAUACGAGUGGCAUAAAACCCAUAAGUACAUUCACUGUGGUGGCAUAAAAAUAAAAUAAAUAUUUUUCUGCUUUAUAAAAUGAAAAUAUAAAAACAGGGAGUAAUAAUUAUUAAGGAGUCUCAACAUGAUAAAGGCUAGAUAUUUAUGCUAACACUUAAUUAGUUCCACAAGCUUUGUUGUCUAUUUUAGCUCCACAGAAUUUAAGAAUCAAGAAGACUAGCAGACGGAGGACAUUCUAAUCGCUGUCAGAAUGCUGCUGACUUUCAAAUACACCUCUGCCGCCUGUUAGCUACAUCAAGACAAAUUACGUCAAAAUUCAGCUUGGGGGAGAGCAUCCCCAUUUAUCCCGGUAAGUAUUUCUAUCUAUCUUUAUACUUAUAUUAUUUUAGAAUAUAAAUAUACAUAACUAUGGAAAACCAAAUAAAGAGUUUAUGCUUAUAUAUAUACAUAUAUAUAUAUAUAUAUCUUUUGCUUAGUGUGUUUAAUAAAUAAAUAAAGUGGCUAUGCUAAUCUGUAUCUAAAUAAAACUUAAGCAUGGAUAUGAUGAAUAGUUGCUCUGCCUAAUUUGCACAUUUUAAGUUCUCUCUCUCAAGUUUAGAUAUAACUGUUAUAAUUUAAAGCCUGCCCUAGACCUAAACUUGUGGGAUGAAAACUUGAUCUAAAGUCUAAGUUGUUAACGGAUAAGAUAUGGGAAGGUUGAGCUGCUGUUUAUCUGUUCCUAGAGAUGCUAGAAUUCUGGAGAAUUUUAUCUUUGAAAAUCUUUUAAAAUGUUGCAUGAUGAGUUCCUGUAUGAUGAGAGUUUUAAAUUCCUACCACAGCCAUAUAUACAUGCUUGCUAGACUUUGAGCCACACAUUUACUAUUUACUGCUUAUGAGCAUUGAGUGUGGUCAAGCUGUGUAGACCCUUAGGAGCUUGUCAUGUGGUUAAAUCAAGAUUUCACUUGCACGUUUACUCAUAUAUGCUACUUCUACUCCGGAAGUACCAUCCACAUAUAUCCACCCAUUCCAUCUCCAAAAUCACCCAAAAAUAUUCUACUCCUAACCCGGGAGAGAAUAACCAAAAAUAUUUCUGUUUUCCCUUGUGAAAUAAAUGCUCAAGUUAUCUUGUUACUACCACUUGCUAUAUUAUCUCAAGAGAUGAGUGCUCUAAAAAAAGGAGAAAUACAAGGAAAUAAAAAGGAGCAAGUGCUCGGAACCUCGAAAGAAAAGAAAAAAAAGUGAGACGAGAGGUAAAAAUGGACAAGUGUCCGACAGUAGAAUUAGGGGUACAAGAUACCCACCUGAGAGAAAAGAAAAAAAAGAAGAGCAUCUCAUUCUCCUCAUAAAGUUUCAAAAAGCAAGGAAGAUAUGUAUCCCCUCAAAGAGCAAAGUAGAAUUAGACUUCCACCACCAUUGUUUUCACCAUUGUUAUCACCAUCAUCACCAUACAUCAUUCAUUCGCCACACAUGCACAUCUUGAUUAAACUCAUUGGCUUGUUUCUUUGGAUCCAUGGUUUGACUAUGCAAUACAUGUCUUGUAAGUAUGUAUACUUUAUUUCCCACCUAUGAGCUCCAGAUAUUAAAGCCUUAUUAGAGUAGGGUGAGAGAGAAGGCAAUGUCACUAUGCCUUAUACCACAAAUACUACAUAUCUUGAGUGAAGGCAUAUACCAUCACUGCCUUGGUAAGGAUCCAGAAAUACCACAAAAGAGAGACCUGAGAGAAUCAUACAAGGAAUUCUGAGUUUUAUUUGAAAAUCUGCAAAAAACCCCAGAGCUAUAGCUGAUCAAGAAUAAGAGACAUGGCACUUGGCUAGACUGUUCUAUCUUUUAACUGUUCAAGAUGGAAGUGACGGUUAUAAGUCCCAUGGUGAAGGUAAAGUAAGUAAGUUUUAAGUCUUGACAGUUUACUC
Molecule: long non-coding RNA, 13643 nt
Filed under: Sorghum bicolor (sorghum)
Lineage: Eukaryota; Viridiplantae; Streptophyta; Magnoliopsida; Poales; Poaceae
Description: long non-coding RNA (SBIC_LNC006243)
Source: RNAcentral